This is a non-coding RNA of Acanthosepion pharaonis, 97 nucleotides long. The record is from the annotation of a GenBank genome assembly. NCBI's taxonomy places the organism in Eukaryota, Metazoa, Mollusca, Cephalopoda, Sepiida, Sepiidae.
UGAAAUAACGGUUCUCGUAUGCUCACCGAAGUUAAGCAACGUUGAGCCUGAUCAGUAGCUAGAUGGGUGACCGCUUGGGAAUACCAGAUGCUGUAAG